This 253-nucleotide ribosomal RNA is filed under the name uncultured bacterium. Its description in RNAcentral is "partial 16S ribosomal RNA". It matches the Rfam family "Bacterial small subunit ribosomal RNA", at positions 524 to 776 of the family's 1533-position model. The record is from RNAcentral.
UACAGAGAGUGCAAGCGUUAUUCGGAUUCACUGGGCGUAAAGGGUGCGCAGGCGGCCGUGUGUGUGAGGCGUGAAAGCCCGGAGCUCAACUCCGGAAUUGCACCUCAAACUACACGGCUAGAGCAUUGGAGAGGGUAGCGGAAUUCACGGUGUAGCAGUGAAAUGCGUAGAUAUCGUGAGGAACACCAGAGGCGAAGGCGGCUACCUGGACAAUUGCUGACGCUCAGGCACGAAAGCGUGGGGAGCAAAAGGG